GAUGAACGCUAGCUACAGGCUUAACACAUGCAAGUCGAGGGGCAGCAUGGUCUUAGCUUGCUAAGGCCGAUGGCGACCGGCGCACGGGUGAGUAACACGUAUCCAACCUGCCGUCUACUCUUGGACAGCCUUCUGAAAGGAAGAUUAAUACAAGAUGGCAUCAUGAGUCCGCAUGUUCACAUGAUUAAAGGUAUUCCGGUAGACGAUGGGGAUGCGUUCCAUUAGAUAGUAGGCGGGGUAACGGCCCACCUAGUCUUCGAUGGAUAGGGGUUCUGAGAGGAAGGUCCCCCACAUUGGAACUGAGACACGGUCCAAAACUCCUACGGGAGGCAGCAGUGAGGAAUAUUGGUCAAUGGGCGAGAGCCUGAACCAGCCAAGUAGCGUGAAGGAUGACUGCCCUAUGGGUUGUAACUUCUUUUAUACGGGAAUAAAGUGAGGCACGUGUGCCUUUUUGUAUGUACCGUAUGAAUAAGGAUCGGCUAACUCCGUGCCAG
RNAcentral lists this ribosomal RNA (494 nucleotides) under uncultured bacterium. Its description in RNAcentral is "bacterial SSU rRNA". It matches the Rfam family "Bacterial small subunit ribosomal RNA", at positions 28 to 511 of the family's 1533-position model. The record is from RNAcentral.